Molecule: long non-coding RNA, 883 nt
Organism: Sycon ciliatum
Lineage: Eukaryota; Metazoa; Porifera; Calcarea; Leucosolenida; Sycettidae
Exons: 5
Source: RefSeq, a predicted model, not a curated record
ACCCUACAUCCCACUCUCAACUCAAGCUACACUGGACUGUACAGAUGUACAUCGGAUAUAACGGGUUACACGACAGGACGACAUACCUAUCAACUGCAUGUCGUGGUUCCACCCACAACGCCGGUACUUCAAACUCCAGUGUCAGUGUAUAACCACACUCUAUACAACAUCAACUGUACCGGUCAAGGGUACCCAGCACCCACAGUAACAUUGAUGGUUGACGGUACUGUAUUGACAGGCAGUGAUACCAACAAGUGUACAGGUGGUGUGUGUACAAAGAUACGAACAGCAUCUCUAGAUGGUAGUGACUACACACCUGGCCAGUCCAUCAACAUUGCCUGUACUGUGGAUAUCGACCAACCACCAUUCAUCUGUACUGCUACUAAGAAUUCAACAUUACAGACACAGUGUAGUAAUACUACCAAGACCAGCACACACACAAGAACUGUUCCAGUAGUUGCAUCCUGUCCGGUAUUAGAUUCCUCUCUUGGUCAUGAUUUCAAUGCUACAUUCUCCAAUGCCUCUGGAACUGUUCUGGGAAUUUCAUGUCGUGCUGGCUUUACUGUGGAUGCUAGUACGAGUUCCAUUGACACAAUAACAUGUCAAUAUAAUGGAAUGUGGACACCUCUCCCGGCUUGUACAGACGUGAAUGAGUGUUCGACCCAGUGUUCUGGCAGUCAUGUUUCUCAGUGCCAGAACACUAUGGGAAGUUUGACAUGUACAUGUAACAUGGGAUACAGGUUUAAUGGUACCAACUGCAUUGAUUUCGAUGAAUGCUUGACUAUGUGCAAAGACAAGAGUACCAGUUGCACCAACACAGUUGGGAGUUACAAAUGUGAAUGCCAAACGGGAUAUAAUGGAACUGCACCUUCUUGCACUGGUA